This 550-nucleotide ribosomal RNA is filed under the name uncultured bacterium. RNAcentral describes it as "bacterial SSU rRNA". It matches the Rfam family "Bacterial small subunit ribosomal RNA", at positions 355 to 896 of the family's 1533-position model. The record is from RNAcentral.
UAGGGAAUCUUCGGCAAUGGACGGAAGUCUGACCGAGCAACGCCGCGUGAGUGAAGAAGGUUUUCGGAUCGUAAAGCUCUGUUGUAAGAGAAGAAUGAGUGUGAGAGUGGAAAGUUCACACUGUGACGGUAUCUUACCAGAAAGGGACGGCUAACUACGUGCCAGCAGCCGCGGUAAUACGUAGGUCCCGAGCGUUGUCCGGAUUUAUUGGGCGUAAAGCGAGCGCAGGCGGUUAGAUAAGUCUGAAGUUAAAGGCUGUGGCUUAGCCAUAGUACGCUUUGGAAACUGUUUAACUUGAGUGCAAGAGGGGAGAGUGGAAUUCCAUGUGUAGCGGUGAAAUGCGUAGAUAUAUGGAGGAACACCGGUGGCGAAAGCGGCUCUCUGGCUUGUAACUGACGCUGAGGCUCGAAAGCGUGGGGAGCAAACAGGAUUAGAUACCCUGGUAGUCCACGCCGUAAACGAUGAGUGCUAGGUGUUAGACCCUUUCCGGGGUUUAGUGCCGCAGCUAACGCAUUAAGCACUCCGCCUGGGGAGUACGACCGCAAGGUUG